RNAcentral lists this ribosomal RNA (524 nucleotides) under uncultured bacterium. RNAcentral's name for it is "bacterial SSU rRNA". It matches the Rfam family "Bacterial small subunit ribosomal RNA", at positions 356 to 896 of the family's 1533-position model. The record is from RNAcentral.
GGGGAAUAUUGGACAAUGGAGGGAACUCUGAUCCAGCAAUUCUGUGUGCACGAAGAAGGUUUUCGGAUUGUAAAGUGCUUUCAGUUGGGAAGAAGGAAGUGACGGUACCAAUAGAAGAAGCGACGGCUAAAUACGUGCCAGCAGCCGCGGUAAUACGUAUGUCGCGAGCGUUAUCCGGAAUUAUUGGGCAUAAAGGGCAUCUAGGCGGUUAUGCAAGUCAGGGGUGAAAACUUACGGCUCAACCGUGAGCUUGCCUUUGAAACUGUGUGACUAGAGUACUGGAGAGGUGGGCGGAACUACACGAGUAGAGGUGAAAUUCGUAGAUAUGUGUAGGAAUGCCGAUGAUGAAGAUAGCUCACUGGACAGAAACUGACGCUGAAGUGCGAAAGCUAGGGGAGCGAACAGGAUUAGAUACCCUGGUAGUCCUAGCUGUAAACGAUGAUCACUGGGUGUGGGCAUGAAGAGUGUCUGUGCCGAAGCGAAUGCGAUAAGUGAUCCGCCUGGGGAGUACGACCGCAAGGUUG